This 77-nucleotide transfer RNA is filed under the name Gammaproteobacteria bacterium. Its description in RNAcentral is "tRNA-Arg". It matches the Rfam family "tRNA". From Rfam's summary of the family: Transfer RNA (tRNA) molecules are approximately 80 nucleotides in length. Their secondary structure includes four short double-helical elements and three loops (D, anti-codon, and T loops). Lineage: Bacteria; Pseudomonadati; Pseudomonadota; Gammaproteobacteria. RNAcentral also lists the same sequence under 4 other names. The record is from RNAcentral.
GCGCCCGUAGCUCAGCUGGAUAGAGCGUCUGGCUACGAACCAGAAGGCCGGGAGUUCGAAUCUCUCCGGGCGCGCCA